CCAGACUCCUACGGGAGGCAGCAGUGGGGGAUAUUGCACAAUGGGGGGAACCCUGAUGCAGCGACGCCGCGUGGGUGAAGGAGUGCUUCGGCAUGUAAAGCCCUAUCGGCAGGGAAGAAGCAAGACGGUACCUGACUAAGAAGCCCCGGCUAACUACGUGCCAGCAGCCGCGGUAAUACGUAGGGGGCGAGCGUUAUCCGGAUUCACUGGGUGUAAAGGGAGCGUAGACGGCCAAGCAAGCCAGGGGUGAAAGCCCGGGGCCCAACCCCGGGACUGCCCUUGGAACUGCAUGGCUGGAGUGCGGGAGGGGCAGGCGGAAUUCCUGGUGUAGCGGUGAAAUGCGUAGAUAUUAGGAGGAACACCAGUGGCGAAGGCGGCCUGCUGGACGACAACUGACGGUGAGGCGCGAAAGCGUGGGGAGCAAACAGGAUUAGAUACCCCCGUAUUU
This 448-nucleotide ribosomal RNA is filed under the name uncultured bacterium. RNAcentral describes it as "bacterial SSU rRNA". It matches the Rfam family "Bacterial small subunit ribosomal RNA", at positions 331 to 795 of the family's 1533-position model. The record is from RNAcentral.